Molecule: transfer RNA, 73 nt
Filed under: Eospalax fontanierii
Lineage: Eukaryota; Metazoa; Chordata; Mammalia; Rodentia; Spalacidae
Description: tRNA-Asn
Source: RNAcentral
UAGAUUGAAGCCAGUUGUUUAGGGUAUUUAGCUGUUAACUAAAUUUUCGUGGGGUUGGAGCCCACCGGUCUAG